Molecule: microRNA precursor, 99 nt
Filed under: Triticum aestivum (bread wheat)
Lineage: Eukaryota; Viridiplantae; Streptophyta; Magnoliopsida; Poales; Poaceae
Also listed under: 1 other name
Description: MIR2275 microRNA precursor family
Rfam family: MIR2275 microRNA precursor family
Source: Rfam by way of RNAcentral
GCACUGAAAGUGAGUGUUGGAGGAAAGCAAACUGGGAAAUCCGUCUCAACAGUGCUGAUGUUUCCAGUUUGUUUUUCUCCAAUAUCUCAUUUUCGGUAG